AUUGAACGCUGGCGGCAUGCUUUACACAUGCAAGUCGAACGGUAACAGGCCGCAAGGUGCUGACGAGUGGCGAACGGGUGAGUAAUGCAUCGGAACGUGCCCAGUCGUGGGGGAUAACUACUCGAAAGAGUAGCUAAUACCGCAUACGAUCUAUGGAUGAAAGCGGGGGACGGAAAGGCCCGGGGGGAUUGGGGCGGCCGAUGUCAGAUUAGGUAGUUGGUGGGGUAAAGGCUCACCAAGCCAACGAUCUGUAGCUGGUCUGAGAGGACGACCAGCCACACUGGGACUGAGACACGGCCCAGACUCCUACGGGAGGCAGCAGUGGGGAAUUUUGGACAAUGGGCGCAAGCCUGAUCCAGCAAUGCCGCGUGCAGGAAGAAGGCCUUCGGGUUGUAAACUGCUUUUGUACGGAACGAAACGGCUCUGGUUAAUACCCGGGGCUAAUGACGGUACCGUAAGAAUAAGCACCGGCUAACUACGUGC
RNAcentral lists this ribosomal RNA (483 nucleotides) under uncultured bacterium. RNAcentral's name for it is "partial 16S ribosomal RNA". It matches the Rfam family "Bacterial small subunit ribosomal RNA", at positions 29 to 508 of the family's 1533-position model. The record is from RNAcentral.